Molecule: ribosomal RNA, 532 nt
Filed under: uncultured bacterium
Lineage: Bacteria
Description: bacterial SSU rRNA
Rfam family: Bacterial small subunit ribosomal RNA
Source: RNAcentral
AAAUAGAUACCCCGGUAGUCCACGCUGUAAACGGUGGGUACUAGGUGUGGGGUCCAUUCCACGGGUUCCGUGCCGUAGCUAACGCUUUAAGUACCCCGCCUGGGGAGUACGGCCGCAAGGCUAAAACUCAAAGGAAUUGACAGGGCCCCGCACAAGCGGCGGAGCAUGCGGAUUAAUUCGAUGCAACGCGUAGAACCUUACCUGGGUUUGACAUGGAUCGGGAGUGCUCAGAGAUGGGUGUGCCUCUUUUGGGGUCGGUUCACAGGUGGUGCAUGGCUGUCGUCAGCUCGUGUCGUGAGAUGUUGGGUUAAGUCCCGCAACGAGCGCAACCCUUGUUCACUGUUGCCAGCACGUUAUGGUGGGGACUCAGUGGAGACCGCCGGGGUCAACUCGGAGGAAGGUGGGGAUGACGUCAAGUCAUCAUGCCCCUUAUGUCCAGGGCUUCACGCAUGCUACAAUGGCUGGUACAGAGAGUGGCGAGCCUGUGAGGGUGAGCGAAUCUCGGAAAGCCGGUCUCAGUUCGGAUUGGGGU